UAAGGAACUCGGCAAAUUAACCCUGUAACUUCGGGAAAAAGGGUGCCCGCCGCAAGGCGGGCCGCAGAGAAUUGGUCCAGGGCGACUGUUUAACAAAAACACAGGGCUCUGCUAAAUCGAAAGAUGAUGUAUAGGGCCUGACACCUGCCCCGGUGCUGGAAGGUUAAGGAAGGGGUUAGCGCAAGCGAAGCUCUCGACUGAAGCCCCAGUAAACGGCGGCCGUAACGAUAACGGUCCUAAGGUAGCGAAAAUUCCUUGUCGGGUAAGUUCCGACUGCACGAAUGGUGUAACGAUCUGGACGCUGUCUCGGCCAUGAGCUCGGUGAAAUUGUAGCAUCGGUGAAGAUGCCGAUUACCCGCAACGGGACGGAAAGACCCCGUGCACCUUCACUACAACUUUGCAUUGAUUCGGUUAAAUGAUGUG
Molecule: ribosomal RNA, 423 nt
Filed under: uncultured bacterium
Lineage: Bacteria
Description: bacterial LSU rRNA
Rfam family: Bacterial large subunit ribosomal RNA
Source: RNAcentral